GUUGCACCCUUGCAUGGAUAUAAACUUGCUCAGCCGGUUAGGUUUCCUAUAGGAUAUUGUGGUCCGGACUCCUGUUCCAGGAUAUUUUAUCUGUUAGUUCGCAGCUGCUUGUGAUUAUUGUAGCGAUAUUCAUGCAGGUCUGCAAACUAAGUCUGUGACGUUUUGAGAAAGUGCUGUUUAAUAGCAUGAAACACGUAAACUUGGCUGACGGCAAAAUGGUUGAAGUAUUUAGCACAUUGCUGUACAAUGGAUAUUUUAAUCUUCAAUAAAGUUUGGAAUCGUUUUAAAUAAAAUACAGUGUGGAGCCCUCUGAAAAGCAAAAGAAAUUUUAAUUUAUAUUUCCUGGUAUAUUUUGCGGGAGAACCACGCUCCUGGCUGCAGGAUAUGGAAGAUACAAUAUAAUUGAAUCAAACAGCGGUACUGGCACAAUAGGGAGUACAUUUAAAUUACAGCUUUUUUUUGGUUACUGGUUUCAAUUUACAGGCUCCCUAAAAGUAGCAAAAUCCUACCUUUAUUCCAGUCUGCUCCUGCUGACUCACCCUUACCUGCCUGCUUGGCUGACAUCAUGAGAAGUGUUGAUAAUAGCCAAUCACAAUGCUUUCCUUUGGGAAAGCAUUGGAUUGGCUGAGCUUGUCAAGUAGGCAGAUCAAGGGCAGAGCCAGCACAAGCGAUACACAGCCCUGUCCAUUCAGCAUCUCCUCAUACAGAUGCAUUGAAUCAAUGCAUCUCUAUGAGGAAAGUUCAGUGUCUCCAUGCAGAGGGCGGAGACACUGAAUGUCAGUCACACUGUGCAGCACUGCCCCAGGAAGCCCCUUUAGCAGCCAUCUGAGGAGUUGCCAGUGAAGGUAUCCCCAGGCUGUAUUGUAAACACUGUUUUCUCUGAAAAGACAGUAUUUACUGCAAAAAGCCUGAAGG
Molecule: non-coding RNA, 915 nt
Organism: Pelobates cultripes (western spadefoot toad)
Lineage: Eukaryota; Metazoa; Chordata; Amphibia; Anura; Pelobatidae
Source: the annotation of a GenBank genome assembly